ACGAACGAGGUUGGUGCAGUGAUCACGCAGGUUCAAGCACCGCCGAGGGUGCCGACGCGUGGACCGAGACGGUCCCGUGGCGUUUGUCCGAGGCGGUGCCGUACUCCUCGUGAACACGGACCAGCGGCGGUUGGACCGGAGCCACAAGGCGGCAGCGGAAGGUGAGUCGGCGUGGGCUUGUCUCGCGCGGACAGCUUAUAGCCCUGCCGUUCGGUGC
Molecule: unclassified non-coding RNA, 217 nt
Filed under: Demospongiae sp. GW30047
Lineage: Eukaryota; Metazoa; Porifera; Demospongiae
Description: sequence contains 28S rRNA gene
Source: RNAcentral